AUACUGCCAGACUUGGAACCGGGAGAGGUAAGAGGUACUACAGGGGUAGGAGUGAAAUCUUGUAAUCCCUGUGGGACCACCUGUGGCGAAGGCGUCUUACCAGAACGGUUCGACGGCGAGGGACGAAAGCUGGGGGCACGAACCGGAUUAGAUACCCGGGUAGUCCCAGCCGUAACGAUGCUCGCUAGGUGUCAGGCAUGGCGCGACCGUGUCUGGUGCCGCAGGGAAGCCGUGAAGCGAGCCACCUGGGAAGUACGGCCGCAAGGCUGAAACUUAAAGGAAUUGGCGGGGGAGCACAACAACGGGUGGGUAAGCCUGCGGUUUAAUUGGACUCAACGCCGGACAACUCACCGGGGGCGACAGCAAUAUGUAGGCCAAGCUGAAGACUUUGCCUGAAUCGCUGAGGGGAGGUGCAUGG
Molecule: ribosomal RNA, 418 nt
Filed under: uncultured archaeon
Lineage: Archaea
Description: bacterial SSU rRNA
Rfam family: Archaeal small subunit ribosomal RNA
Source: RNAcentral